Non-coding RNA from Myotis davidii, 75 nucleotides. The record is from Rfam. Lineage: Eukaryota; Metazoa; Chordata; Mammalia; Chiroptera; Vespertilionidae.
GGUGGUUCUUGGGUGAUGCACCUCAAAAUCGGGCUCCCUACUCUCUGGUUCUGGGUGAGUCACUUGAGAACUGCU